UCCCUGGAGGUCUAGUGGUUAGGCCUUAGUGCUUUCGCCAUCAUGGCCUGAGUUCAAUUCCUGGCCCUGGAA
Non-coding RNA from Pangasianodon gigas (Mekong giant catfish), 72 nucleotides. The record is from the annotation of a GenBank genome assembly. NCBI's taxonomy places the organism in Eukaryota, Metazoa, Chordata, Actinopteri, Siluriformes, Pangasiidae.